Calliphora vicina (urban bluebottle blowfly) is the source of this 529-nucleotide long non-coding RNA. RefSeq lists it as uncharacterized. Lineage: Eukaryota; Metazoa; Arthropoda; Insecta; Diptera; Calliphoridae. The record is from RefSeq and is a predicted model, not a curated record. The transcript is spliced from 3 exons.
UCAAUACACUAUACAACAGGAUAACAAAUAGCAACUACUAAGACUAUAAAACACUUCCGAACACAAUUAAAAUGAAAUUUUACAUUAUUUUCUUGGUAAUGACCAUAUUUAUGGUUUUCAACUUACAUCUAAAUAAGGCUGAGCAAUUAGAUCCAAAUAAUGACUAUACAUUUAAGGACACUAAUAACGGUCAAUUGUUGGUGGUGCCACGAAAAAUAGAUAAUUAUAAUGGGACUAAAAAGGCGAUAGCUAAAAGUUAUAAUAAUAAAACUGCUACAAUUAAGUAAAGUGCCAAUAAGGAAAUUGCCAAAAUUCUGUAAUAAACGACUCAAAGGAUUUUAAGCAAUUAAACGAUAUUAAUUUAAACAGUACUGAUGGAAAUGUUAACGUCAAUAUGACUAACAAGGAGUUUAGUUUGUGGAAAAAAUUUAAGAAAUUCUUGGCUGAUAUGGUUAAUUGAAAUUUGCAAAUAAAAAAUUUAAAAUAUAUUUAUAACUUUUACAAUUUUAAAUAAAACACUUAAAAUAGA